This 253-nucleotide ribosomal RNA is filed under the name uncultured bacterium. RNAcentral describes it as "partial 16S ribosomal RNA". It matches the Rfam family "Bacterial small subunit ribosomal RNA", at positions 524 to 776 of the family's 1533-position model. The record is from RNAcentral.
UACGUAGGGCGCAAGCGUUAUCCGGAAUUAUUGGGCGUAAAGAGCUCGUAGGCGGUUUGUCGCGUCUGCCGUGAAAGUCCGGGGCUCAACUCCGGAUCUGCGGUGGGUACGGGCAGACUAGAGUGCAGUAGGGGAGACCGGAAUUCCUGGUGUAGCGGUGAAAUGCGCAGAUAUCAGGAGGAACACCGAUGGCGAAGGCAGGUCUCUGGGCUGUAACUGACGCUGAGGAGCGAAAGCAUGGGGAGCGAACAGG